Long non-coding RNA from Dermochelys coriacea (leatherback sea turtle), 1524 nucleotides. RefSeq lists it as uncharacterized. NCBI's taxonomy places the organism in Eukaryota, Metazoa, Chordata, Testudines, Dermochelyidae. The record is from RefSeq and is a predicted model, not a curated record. The transcript is spliced from 2 exons.
UUUUUUUUUUUUUUUUAAUUGAAACACAUGUAAAAAUGUUAAAUAAAGGGCUAUGUCUUCAUAUAGGUUUGUUUUUUCAAGUGAUUAUUCCUUUACAAGCCUUUCACCUCUAUUUGUUAAAAACUUUAACUAAUUACUUUUAUAAAAUAACUGGCUGUGGUUCUAACCCUGAGGUAAUACUCACUAGGGAGACAGUUGCUGGGGAGGCCAGAUGCCUCCGACCUGUCCCGUGCCCGCAACCCAGAGGAGUUGCUGGACCUGCCCCACGUCAGCUACCCGGAGGAGUUGUUGGGGCUGCUUCUAACCACCUACCCCGAGGAACCCAUGGUGCCGGACACCCUGAGGACACCACCGGGACCCAGGUCAUGCAAGACAGUAUCAAAAGCCUUACUAAAGUCAAGAUAUACCACGUCUAACACUUUCCCCCCUAUCCACAAGGCUUGCUACCCUGCCAAAGUCAUGGACUUGUCUCUACUUCUGCGCACAGACAGAUCUUAACAAGGGACUACAGAAUUUUAUCUGUUUAUAUAAAGCCCUGAUUAUAACCUCACAUAGCCUGGAAGUUUGGAAGGAUUUUCCUUGUUCUUUGCCUCACAUUUUGAUCCUUUCACAUCUGCUUUAUAAAUGACUGUAGUUUAUGCAACUAUAAAGUGUAGCGUCCAGCUAUGUUAUUGUUCAAUCACAAACAAAGCACAGUUUGAUGUGCUUGACGUGAGAAAUUCUAGUUCAUUGUAUACUUCAAAUCUACUCUUGACAAUACAUGAUAUUGUUAACAAUCUGACAGAUUCACAAACAAAUGCAUUUGUUUGUUAAACAAUUUUUUUACAUUAAGGUAUUUAAUUAGUGAAACAAUCAUUAUCAAUGUAACAAGCUGAAAUACGGCAACUUGAUACAAGACUGAGGUAACAAAAUACUUUGCCAAAAACCUAAAGACUCCCACACAAGGGUUAAAAGUUCAGUGGUUAUUAUGGGUGAGACAAUUCACAAAAGUUAUAGAAAGUCUGUACACAAAUGGCAUGCAGUGGGCUGCUGAAAAAUACGGCCAAAAAUAGUGCAACAGUGUUCACAAGAAACAAAUAUAGAAAUUGGUUUACAUUGUAAUGCGACAAAUGGAUUGUAUACUGAAAACUUCUGUUGAUGCCUUAAUUGAGUGCUAAUGGGACAAACAUGCAUUUUGGCACUGAAUUACUUUAAAAUUACACACACUAAUAAAUUAAUAAUAAAUAUUGCCUGAAAUAUAUCUUAUAUCUUCACAAGUCUGAAAUUAGUCAUCCUGAAAAAUAGACUAAAAAGGCCUGUUUUUACAAAACAGCUGAAGUUUUACUGUCUGACUGAUAACACUUACAAGGUUUAUGAUAUCCUUUCAUAGAGGUGAUAUUUUAAUCAAUGUCUAUUAUUUCAACAGGAGCUUUUAAUUCACAUUAAAGGUGCCAGAUACUGAGUCCCCAAAAAUUAGUAAUUAUUAGAAUUCAUACUGUUUUGUAUUUAACAUUAAUAAAUGUAUUUAAAAAUGGAUUAAGCUAA